This 421-nucleotide ribosomal RNA is filed under the name uncultured bacterium. RNAcentral describes it as "bacterial SSU rRNA". It matches the Rfam family "Bacterial small subunit ribosomal RNA", at positions 89 to 543 of the family's 1533-position model. The record is from RNAcentral.
ACUUGAGUGGCGGACGGGUGAGUAACGCGUGAGAAUCUGCCUUUUGGUCGGGGACAACCAUUGGAAACGAUGGCUAAUACCCGAUGUGCCUAGGGGUGAAAAAUUUAUUGCCAAAAGAGGAGCUCGCGUCUGAUUAGCUAGUUGGUAGGGUAAAAGCCUACCAAGGCAUCGAUCAGUAGCUGGUCUGAGAGGAUGACCAGCCACACUGGGACUGAGACACGGCCCAGACUCCUACGGGAGGCAGCAGUGGGGAAUUUUCCGCAAUGGGCGAAAGCCUGACGGAGCAAGACCGCGUGAGGGAGGAAGGCUCUUGGGUCGUAAACCUCUUUUGUCAGGGAAGAACACAAUGACGGUACCUGACGAAUCAGCCUCGGCUAACUCCGUGCCAGCAGCCGCGGUAAUACGGAGGAGGCAAGCGUUA